Long non-coding RNA from Salvelinus fontinalis (brook trout), 3221 nucleotides. RefSeq lists it as uncharacterized. The transcript is spliced from 3 exons. The record is from RefSeq and is a predicted model, not a curated record. NCBI's taxonomy places the organism in Eukaryota, Metazoa, Chordata, Actinopteri, Salmoniformes, Salmonidae.
UUAGGGCCUUCCAAUGUAUUUUCUGACUUUUCUAGCUGCUCCCAGUCAACAUGGCAGGUCUCACAGUCAGAUGUUUACCCUCAUAUGAGAUGAUAAUUGUCAUGCUUUAGAGUCCUCGUUUACUAUAACAGUGUUCUACGUCCCGACCACUAAGAGUUCUAUCACAGUGUUCUACGUCCCGACCACUAAGAGUUCUAUCACAGUGUUCUACGUCCCGACCACUAAGAGUUCUAUCACAGUGUUCUACGUCCCGACCACUAAGAGUUCUAUAACAGUGUUCUACGUCCCGACCGCUAAGAGUUCUAUAACAGUGUUCUACGUCCCGACCGCUAAGAGUUCUAUAACAGUGUUCUACGUACCGACCACUAAGAGUUCUAUCACAGUGUUCUACGUCCCGACCACUAAGAGUUCUAUCACAGUGUUCUACAUCCCGACCACUAAGAGUUCUAUAACAGUGUUCUACGUCCCGACCGCUAAGAGUUCUAUAACAGUGUUCUACGUACCGACCACUAAGAGUUCUAUAACAGUGUUCUACGUCCCGACCGCUAAGAGUUCUAUCACAGUGUUCUACGUCCCGACCGCUAAGAGUUCUAUCACAGUGUUCUACGUCCCGACCGCUAAGAGUUCUAUAACAGUGUUCUACGUCCCGACCGCUAAGAGUUCUAUCACAGUGUUCUACGUCCCGACCGCUAAGAGUUCUAUAACAGUGUUCUACGUCCCGACCGCUAAGAGUUCUAUCACAGUGUUCUACGUCCCGACCGCUAAGAGUUCUAUAACAGUGUUCUACAUCCCGACCACUAAGAGUUCUAUCACAGUGUUCUACGUAGGGUUAUAGCUGUUCUAUGUUCUCUCCCAAGAAUCUGAUGUGUUCCACGUCCCGACCAGUGGUACAUCAGGAGAGAACCUGACCACUAAGUGUUCUGCUCCAAAGCUAACAUCCUGGUACUUUGGAGCCUGCCUUUUGGACCAGAACGGAACGGACACACGCUCUCGUAUUCAAUUCCACAAAUCUUUAUUGUCCGAGGUCGGUACGCUCACAACUCUUUAUAAAAUAAAAUUAUGUUACAACUCAACAAUAUUAUUUAAAAAAAAAAUUGUUAGCAAAAACAAAAGAACAUCCAUAGUGUACAUGGCCCGUGGACAAUUAUUCUUGACAUAAAUACCCUUCAAGCACACAGAGAAAUGAGAAGUAGCUGAGAGAGAUUGAUUGAUACCAUGUCUUUAUUUGUGUCUUCUCUCUUCUGUAAUGAUCUGAAAGUGUGCGAGUGUCUGAGUAGUGUUGUGACUGACAGUAGUGAAAGUGUCGAGUGUGGCUGGUUACCAUGGUGAUGUCGGUACGGUAUUAGUCAGCAUGGCGACGUAGUGACUCAGUGACACAGUCUAAAUUAAAGUUAACAUUUCUAUGUUGUUUCUCACGCUCUCUUUUCUCACUCGGCCUCUACCUUUCUUUCUCUCUGUCUCACUUUCGAUCUCUCUCUCCCUCUCCUCCUCUCUCUCUCUCUCUCUCUCUGUCUCUCUCUCUCUCUCUCUCUCUCUCUCUCUCUCUCUCUCUCUCUCUCUCUCUCUCUCUCUGUCUCUCCAUUGAUUGUUUCAACCUCGCCCCAGAGGUUGAUAGACAAGCCCUUUAGACUGUGUGUCUCAGACGUGGUUAAAGAUCAGGGUUUUGUGUGACAGGGUAGAUGGAGGCUGGGUACAUUCAGACAGGAGAGAGGAGAGUACUGGCCAUACCCCCCCAACGAGACAUGCACUGUUAAAAGGCAUCACUCUCCACGAGGAGCCUCUGGACAGGACAGCAGCAGGAGACCAUGUUAGUCUGAUCGUCACUGGCUUGGACAUCAUCAAGAUUAAGAAAAUACUGUACAUCACAGUUAAUGUAGACCACAGUCUAUAACAUGAAUGUAGACCACAGUCUUUAACAUCAAUGUAGACCACAGUAUAUAACAUGAAUGUGGACCACAGUAAAUAACAUGAAUGAUCCUUUAAACUAGUGUUACUAAUUUGAUGGUUGUAGUCAUCAAUUGACCCGUUAACAAUCACCCAUAUUGUCGCGGCCGAUGCUGGAAGAAGACCAAGGUGCAGCUUGGUCAGCGUACAUAUUCCUUUUAAUUUGAAUGUCGCCAACAUAACAAUAAACAAUACAAAACGACCGUGAAGCUUAACAGGGCUAUGAAGCCUCUAACAAAGUUAACUUCCCACACUGAAAGGAGGGAAAAGGGCUACCUAAGUAUGGUUCCCAAUCAGAGACAACGAUAGACAGCUGUCCCUGAUUGAGAACCAUACCCGGCCAAAACAUAGAAACACAAAAUCAUAGAAGUAAAGGAUAUAGAAUGCCCACCCCAAAUCACACCCUGACCAAACCAUAAAGAGACAUAAGGCUCUCUAAGGUCAUGGCGUGACAGUACCCCCCUCCAAAGGUGCGGACUCCGGCCGCAAAAUCUGAACCUCUAGGGGAGGGUCUGGGUGGGCAUCUAUCCGCGGUGGCGGCUCUGGUGCGGGACAUGGACCCCGCUCCACCUCUGGCUCACCCCACUUUGGUGGCGCCUCUGGUGCGGGGACCCUCAUCGCCGACCCCGGACUUGGGACUCUCGUUGCGGGCCCCGGACUGGGGACCCUCGUUGCGGGCCCUGUAGUGUUAAUGAGCCUCCUCCAGUGUCUGUAUUAACCCUGUACUGUGGUGUUAAUGAGUCUCCUCUAGUGUCUGUAUUAACCCUGUACUGUAGUGUUAAUGAGUCUCCUCCAGUCUGUCUGCAUUAACCCUGUACUGUAAUGUUAAUGAGUCUCCUCCAGUCUGUCUGUAUUAACCCUGUACCAUAGUGUUAAAGUCUCCUCCAGUCUGUCUGUAUUAACCCUGUACUGUAGUGUGAAUGAGUCUCCUCUAGUGUCUGUAUUAACCCUGUAGUGUUAAUGAGUCUCCUCCAGUCUGUCUGUAUUAACCCUGUACUGUAGUGUUAAUGAGUCUCCUCUAGUGUCUGUAUUAACCCUGUACUGUGGUGUUAAUGAGUCUCCUCUAGUGUCUGUAUUAACCCUGUACUGUAAUGUUAAUGAGUCUCCUCUAGUGUCUGUAUUAACCCUGUACUGUAGUGUUAAUGAGUCUCCUCUAGUGUCUGUAUUAACCCUGUACUGUAAUGUUAAUGAGUCUCCUCUAGUGUCUGUAUUAACCCUGUAGUGUUAAUGAGUCUCCUCCAGUCUGUCUGUAUUAACCCUGUACUGUAGUGUUAAUG